GACGAACGCUGGCGGCGUGCUUAACACAUGCAAGUCGAGCGAAGUAUUCAAGACAGAUUUCUUCGGAUUGAAGUCUUGAAUAUCUUAGCGGCGAACGGGUGAGUAACGCGUGAGAAACCUGCCUUUCACAAAGGGAUAGCCUCGGGAAACUGGGAUUAAUACCUUAUGAUACUUCAAAUUCGCAUGAAAUUGAAGUUAAAGCGUAAAGCGGUAGAAAGAUGGUCUCGCGUCCCAUUAGCUAGUUGUGGGUAACGCUCACCAAGGCCACGAUGCAUAGCCGACCUGAGAGGGUGA
This 294-nucleotide ribosomal RNA is filed under the name uncultured bacterium. Its description in RNAcentral is "partial 16S ribosomal RNA". It matches the Rfam family "Bacterial small subunit ribosomal RNA", at positions 28 to 303 of the family's 1533-position model. The record is from RNAcentral.